RNAcentral lists this ribosomal RNA (433 nucleotides) under uncultured bacterium. Its description in RNAcentral is "partial 16S ribosomal RNA". It matches the Rfam family "Bacterial small subunit ribosomal RNA", at positions 29 to 507 of the family's 1533-position model. The record is from RNAcentral.
AACGAACGCUGGCGGCAUGCCUAACACAUGCAAGUCGAACGAGACCUUCGGGUCUAGUGGCGCACGGGUUCGUAACGCGUGGGAACCUGCCCUUAGGUUCGGAAUAACUCCCCGAAAGGGGUGCUAAUACCGGUUAAUGUCUUCGGACCAAAGAUUUAUGGCCUUUGGAUGGGCCCGCGUUGGAUUAGCUUGUUGGUAGUGUAAAAGCCUACCAAGGCGACGAUCCAUAGCUGGUCUGAGAGGAUGAUCAGCCACACUGGGACUGAGACACGGCCCAGACUACUACGGGAAGCAGGAGUGGGGAAUAUUGGAAAAUGGGCGAAAGCCUGAUAAAGCAAUGCCGCGUGAGUGAUGAAGGCCUUAGGGUUGUAAAGCUCUUUUAACCGGGAUGAUAAUGACAGUAACGGGAGAAUAAGCACCGGCUAACUACGUG